CAAGACGUUUAGGGGUGCCGUUAGGCUGAGAUGAUACCCAUUGAACCUGGUCUAGGUAAUGCUAGUGAAGGGAAAAUGACUUUUGAUUAC
Molecule: non-coding RNA, 90 nt
Organism: Lactobacillus jensenii JV-V16
Lineage: Bacteria; Bacillati; Bacillota; Bacilli; Lactobacillales; Lactobacillaceae
Source: Rfam